CGCUUCUCUCUGUUCAAAGCACCGCGCCGCGUCGUGCAUGUCGUCGGUACUCGGUAUAGACUUUCGUUGCAGCCGUUCCAUGCGUUAGAACACACCGUCAGACGUAUUCACAACGUGAGAGCAGCUUUUCAGAUUUACUGCCUUCUUUACACGCUUGACAAACGCUUGUCAAAACGCAAGAAAGCUCUUUAACACCGUGAUAAUAACUCAUUGACAACGACCUGUUCGGAGAAGUCGGAGAAGUGUAGCGUCGGAAGUCGUGUAGCGAAGAAGUUCUUAAUUAAAACAACUACAUUCCUUUGGAUUGGUAGCAACGUUUCAAAGGUAUUUCCAGAAAUUUGCUGAUUGACAUCUAAUUGGUAGGUCAAUUAUUGGUUGUUGAUGGAAUCGCGUGAAAAGAGACUGCUUGGUUCGUAGCCGGAGAAGGUGUAAGUCUUUUUUCUAGUUAUUAUCGAAAUUCAAUCGAAUGUACUCGAAGGUAAAAUUCUAUGAGUUAUUCUAUGCCAUAAUUUAUAUUUCACGUAAAAGAGCGAUGAUAGAAUCAUAAGUUUCUUCAAUAGUUAGAACCGUUCGCUUUAUCAAUUUUCUAUUGGAUCAUAACAAAUAGUUUCACGGUAACUAAUGAAAGCGAAGAUUUCUCUCGCUCUUUAAUUAUUAGUAUAUAAUAAUGCGUACUGCAAGUAGAUUUAAUUAGAAGCGCGUAAAAAGUACUUGAAGUUUCGUAGCUAUAUGACCACGCUUCAUUCCUUUGAUAAUGUUUGUUUAUUGAUCUCUGUUUGUCAAUAAUAAUUCUACGCGAAAAUUGGAAAUAUAUAAAAAUAAAACGUACCAGACACAUUCUGCUAUUGUUAAACGAGAACAAUAUUAUCUUGUUAGCAACGAACGAAGAAUACUUACCAACGUAAAACUACGCUCUUAUUCCAUAAAAAUUUAAGAAAAUUUCUAUUCUUAAUGAAGUCUGUUCUACUGGAGCAGCCAUUUAACCUCCGUUCGACAUGAAUCUUUGAUUUCUUCGAAGUUUGCAGUCGUUAUGAACUGUGAAGAUCAGGAUGAGCCUGGCCGCGAGAAGCACAUGCUACGUCGAAGGUAGGGAAGUUGAAAAUACAGUCUCAGACGAAGGUACACGCGUGCAGAGGUGCACGAGCGAUGGCUCCUUUGCCCCGGUACAUAGCGAAGUCGAUGGCAGUGGCCCAAAGAGAAUUUCCUAGUAGCGCAAGUCCUGCACGGUUGGCAAGCGGCAGUCACUUGGAGUUACCUUUAGAACUCACCUUUUCCUCCCCUCGUGUUUCUCCAUUUUCUUUCCGUUCCAUUUAUUUGCUCGUGUAUACGCGCAUGUAAAUCUAGGCUACACGAGAACCCGGAACGUGGCUUCUCCGCGUGGACGACCACGCUGUUCUGCAUUUAUUUUUAUGGACGCCGUUGUAAACAAGCAUCGUAACGCUUUGUGCUCCGGACAGGGAACGGAUUCUUACAGCAGAGCGUCGGAAGAAUUCUGUGAGAUCGUGGUUCUUGGUUCGUCGGUGAGUUGUAUGGAAUGUAUAAUACAUGAUUUAAUUGUGCUAUUUUCAGUAUUUUCUAUUUUGUAAUUUGUAUAAUACCGUUGUACUCAAAUGUUUUAUCGUUAUCCAAUCUUUUUUAACUUUUAAUUUAGCGUGGAUGCCAAUUUAUUGAUACGACUGCCUACAGUAUACGAUUAAGAACUUUAUAUAGUUUGAGUUAAACCUAAGUUAUAAAAGUCACAAUUAUAUAGCUAAUCCUCACCGCUACUCAAACUCAAACCUAACUUGAAAAAUCCGUAUCGUUAACUCGUUUAAACAUUAACGUUCGAUGUAUCAAAAAAGGGGACACAAAGUUAGAGAAAUAAGACGUGCAUAGGACACGUGGAGUGUCUUCGAAACGUAAAUCUUCGUUCGAUGUCUUGACACAGCAAGAGGAUUUGCUUCUGAGGAUUGGGGCAGAGUUUAAGGCAAGCGCGAAGGGUAGAGGAAUACAGAUGCAACUGUACAGAUCGUUAGAAGAAUCGCGUUCGAACUCUCGAAACUAGUGUUCUCUCACUGUAGGAAAUUCUUUGGAAUGGCGAGUCUCUUCAGAGCAUGUAAUUCGUAAUAACGUUUGAACGGCGCGCUUAGAUGUUAAAGAAUCGAAUGUACUCCAUGAAAUAAUGCUAUUCAAGGAAGAAGACGCGAUCGCGAAUUUCAGGAUGGAUCGCUGGUACCGGUUGGACGAGACGGGUGUAUCUGGAAAUCCUGGCGAGGAUUCGAUCAGUUCCUCGCGAGAAGAACG
Bombus terrestris (buff-tailed bumblebee) is the source of this 2283-nucleotide long non-coding RNA. RefSeq lists it as uncharacterized. Lineage: Eukaryota; Metazoa; Arthropoda; Insecta; Hymenoptera; Apidae. The record is from RefSeq and is a predicted model, not a curated record. The transcript is spliced from 4 exons.